RNAcentral lists this long non-coding RNA (1258 nucleotides) under Marmota monax (woodchuck). Lineage: Eukaryota; Metazoa; Chordata; Mammalia; Rodentia; Sciuridae. The record is from RNAcentral.
GCCACUCAUUCUCUGUGAAUUCAGCAAAAACUAAUUGGUGUAAUAAUAAAAGUAAGAACACUGAUUAUGCAGCUGAUUCUUAAAAUGUCACCUCCACAUGAGAAGUGUACUAAAAUUAAAUUUUAGCCAUAGAUCUCUCUGGUAGGUCUGAUGGAAUGAAAUCUAGAGAUCAUAAUUGGAUCACACUGUAAACAAUGGUGUGGAUUCCCUGGGAGACCUCUUUGCAUUUAAACUGUAAAAACAAGUCAUCUUGGUGGCCUGGCUGUGGUUUUCAGUGGAGAGAAACAGUCAGAGGCCCAAAUUCACAGCAAAAUGAGAACAAAAGGCAGUCCAGAAAGUGUUCUCCUGACUCAUCUGAUGGAAUAGAGGCUGAUAAGAUUUAUGAUUCGGUAAUGAACCUGAUGAAUUUGGGAAUUGCCAUCUUGGUUUGAGAUACAGAUUUUACUUCGUGCCACCAAACAGCAAGAGCGUUACAGCUCUUCAGUCACAGGUCAUGAGCUCUGCAUUUCUGUUUCAUGAAGUCUUUUUGAAACAAGGAUGUUAUUCGCCCAUCUCUGACCUCUGCCUCCCUGGAAGGGUACAAGCUGGGUUGGAGAGACUUUUUUUUUUUAACUUCAUGGUAUUUAUGACUUUAUUUUUAUUUAAAACAUUUUACACAUGUACCUAAUCUCAGAGGAUAAUAGACACUCCACAUCCGGCACCCUGAUUCAACAUGACAAUGCUUUGCUAUAGUUGCUUUCCAUUUUUUUUUAAAUGUGAUGAAACACUUCAGCUGGGGCUGGCAUCUCUCCCUAUCUUAUUCCUUCUUGCACCUCCCAAAGGUAACGAAUGUCCUGAAGCUGGUCUGUCUUCCUGUCCUCGCUUUCCUAGAUUUGCUAUGGAAGGUGACUCUACAAGGAGCACACAGCAUGUUUUGUGGGGGACCACGUGUGCACUCUGAGCUCAUCUGCCUGGAUUCACAUUUAAUCUUAUUAUUUAUUAGUUUUUGUGACUUGGGACAAAUUAUCUAACCUCUCCAAAUCGCAAUUCUCUAGUUUAUAAAAUGAUAUAAUAAUUUGCUUCCCAGAGCUUUUUGUGAUCAUUAAAUGAGUUAAAAUACAGAAAGGGCUUAACACUGUGCCUGCACACAGGAAGGACUAUGUGAGCAUUUGUUGGAUGAUGAUGUGGACGAUGUCAGUGUGCAUAUGGCACAUGCUGUGAUAUCCUGUGACAACUUGCUUUCCUGAGAUUUAUCAGUACUGCUACAUGUAGAUCUAAU